RNAcentral lists this ribosomal RNA (459 nucleotides) under uncultured bacterium. RNAcentral's name for it is "partial 16S ribosomal RNA". It matches the Rfam family "Bacterial small subunit ribosomal RNA", at positions 338 to 795 of the family's 1533-position model. The record is from RNAcentral.
CCUACGGGAUGCAGCAGUGAGGAAUAUUGGUCAAUGGCCGCAGGGCUGAACCAGCCAAGUCGCGUGAGGGAUGACGGUCCUAUGGAUUGUAAACCUCUUUUGUCAGGGAGCAAAGGGCGCCACGUGUGGCGCUUUGCGAGUACCUGAAGAAAAAGCAUCGGCUAACUCCGUGCCAGCAGCCGCGGUAAUACGUAGGAUGCGAGCGUUAUCCGGAUUUAUUGGGUUUAAAGGGUGCGCAGGCGGAAUGUCAAGUCAGCGGUAAAAUUUCGGGGCUCAACCCCGUCGUGCCGUUGAAACUGGCGUUCUUGAGUGAGCGAGAAGUAUGCGGAAUGCGUGGUGUAGCGGUGAAAUGCAUAGAUAUCACGCAGAACUCCGAUUGCGAAGGCAGCAUACCGGCGCUCAACUGACGCUCAUGCACGAAAGCGUGGGUAUCGAACAGGAUUAGAUACCCCUGUAGUC